UAAUAAUAGCGCCUGACGUUUAGUGAGUAUC
Molecule: non-coding RNA, 31 nt
Filed under: Mus musculus (house mouse)
Lineage: Eukaryota; Metazoa; Chordata; Mammalia; Rodentia; Muridae
Source: RNAcentral